RNAcentral lists this ribosomal RNA (476 nucleotides) under uncultured bacterium. RNAcentral describes it as "partial 16S ribosomal RNA". It matches the Rfam family "Bacterial small subunit ribosomal RNA", at positions 28 to 523 of the family's 1533-position model. The record is from RNAcentral.
GAUGAACGCUGGCGGCGUGCUUAACACAUGCAAGUCGAGCGAGAUUAUUCUUCGGAAUAGUCUAGCGGCGGACGGGUGAGUAACACGUGGGCAACCUGCCUUGUAGAGGGGGAUAGCCUUCCGAAAGGAAGAUUAAUACCGCAUAACGUUGUUGAAAGGCAUCUUUCGAUAAUCAAAGGAGUAAUCCGCUACAAGAUGGGCCCGUGGCGCAUUAGCUAGUUGGUGAGGUAACAGCUCACCAAGGCAACGACGCGUAGCCGACCUGAGAGGGUGGUCGGCCACAUUGGGACUGAGACACGGCCCAGACUCCUACGGGAGGCAGCAGUGGGGAAUAUUGCACAAUGGGGGAAACCCUGAUGCAGCAACGCCGCGUGAGUGAUGACGGCCUUCGGGUUGUAAAGCUCUGUCUUUGGGGACGAUAAUGACGGUACCCAAGGAGGAAGUCACGGCUAACUACGUGCCAGCCGCCGCCGUAA